RNAcentral lists this ribosomal RNA (429 nucleotides) under Bacillota bacterium. RNAcentral describes it as "Firmicutes bacterium partial 16S ribosomal RNA". It matches the Rfam family "Bacterial small subunit ribosomal RNA", at positions 355 to 776 of the family's 1533-position model. Lineage: Bacteria; Bacillati; Bacillota. The record is from RNAcentral. RNAcentral also lists the same sequence under 2 other names.
UGGGGAAUUUUGGACAAUGGGGGCAACCCUGAUCCAGCAAUGCCGCGUGUGUGAAGAAGGCCUUCGGGUUGUAAAGCACUUUUGUCCGGGAAGAAAUCCUUUUCGAUAAUACCGAAGGGGGAUGACGGUACCGGAAGAAUAAGCACCGGCUAACUACGUGCCAGCAGCCGCGGUAAUACGUAGGGUGCGAGCGUUAAUCGGAAUUACUGGGCGUAAAGCGUGCGCAGGCGGUGAUGUAAGACCGAUGUGAAAUCCCCGGGCUUAACCUGGGAACUGCAUUGGUGACUGCAUCGCUGGAGUAUGGCAGAGGGGGGUAGAAUUCCACGUGUAGCAGUGAAAUGCGUAGAGAUGUGGAGGAAUACCGAUGGCGAAGGCAGCCCCCUGGGCCAAUACUGACGCUCAUGCACGAAAGCGUGGGGAGCAAACAGG